GUGCUCACUUCACCAACACAUAUACUAAAAUUGGAAUGAUACAGAGAUUAACAUGGACCCUGUGUAAGGAUGACAUGCAAAUUCACGAAGCGUUCCAUAUUUUU
Small nuclear RNA from Pongo abelii (Sumatran orangutan), 104 nucleotides. The record is from Ensembl. NCBI's taxonomy places the organism in Eukaryota, Metazoa, Chordata, Mammalia, Primates, Hominidae.